UAGCAUGUACGGUUCCAACAACUGCCAAUAUCUUCCAGCGUUGUAAUGUAUCUUCCAUGGACAUUUGCCUUAUUUGCUGCUUCCGAUUUGUACUGAAGUUGCCCCCAUAUCUGCAAUUGAUUUUCUCCAAAUUCUUCAUCGUCUCCGCUAUAAAAGCUCAAUCCAUGGUCAGUCAUUAGCAAGUUGUGAGCUAUCGAUUACUCCACCUGAUAGUAUACUGCAAUUACCUCUAUUAUCUUGAUCGUUGGGUCUGAUGGCUUCCUCUAAAGGCGGUUUCAAUUCAGUUGCAAGCAUUUGUCAUGGAAGAGACACAUGGAGGAUUAGGGUUCGUGUUCUUAGGAUUUGGGAGAUGUGCCCAAUUGCUGACCUAGAAAAUCCUUUUGCAGUCCAGUUGGUGUUGAUGGAUGCUGAGGGCCUGAGAAUUGAGGCAACUAUUAGAAAAUUACCCAUAAGGAAACUUUUUGGAGAGGUGGUGGAAGGAAAUAUAUAUAGGAUAAGCUUCUUCUCUGUGGUCCCUAAUGUUGGAGUCUACAAGGUAUCACAACAUGAAUUCAAGAUCCUUUCCAACAAUAGGACUAGGAUAGUGCCUGAUGAGUCUUCCCUUAUUCCUAUGCAUGGAUUUUUAUUUAUGAACUCAGCUGAAAUUGCUCGCACCAUGAAUGAAUCUGAAUAUCUUAUUGGCCUGGUGUCUGCAGUGUCAAUUCGCACCAUAUUCAAGACACGUGAGUAUAUUUUCUGACUACAUGGAGCAGAGGGCCAGGGGCAAAUAGAAAAAUAGACUGUGGAAGUUUCUAUUAGAUUUGGUGAUAUGUUUUUUUGAUUCAGUGUGUGUGAUGAAGGUUGAUACGGGUCUUGAACAGAUAUGAUAGGCCUUGACAUAUUGAAGGUAGAUUACUAAGACAUACAUAAUGUUUCGAAGGAACCUUAUGCGGGAAAGGUCCAUUUCACCUUACCAACCAUCAUGGGAAGCACGUUACUGAAAAGGACUUCUUGGGGAAGUGGACAGUGAUGUAUUUUGGAUUUACUCACUACCCCAUAUCUGCCCUGAUGAACUACAGAAGUUAGCAGAUUCAGUUGAUAAAAUAAGAGCGAAUUUUAGUGCAUAUGCAUCAUUGUCUCUGUUGUUGAGUGCUUGGAGGUAGAUGUAGAAUUUUUCUUUUUCUAACACUCUACUUGAUGGACCUUCUUUUCAGGAUGCAACAAUGGAAACCAGAGUUUGAGAUCAUACACCGGUCCAGGAGGCUCAGAAGAAUGGAUCGUUAAAAACUGAUUGGAUUUGUUUCUGAAGCAGCUGCCUGUAUGUUCCUCCCUUUAUGUAACUCGAGAAGUUAGUGGACAGCUUUUAUGAAAGACAAAAGAGUUUUCACCUGGAACACAAACUGAUGGAGUUAUGGUUCGGGAGCUGCAUCCUUAUCCAAGUCAGAUCCAUAGGACAUACCUUAGAUCAUAAGUGAAAGCGAAAAUAUGCUAAAGUUUACAAUGUAGAGCUUUUGAGGGUGACAAACAACUAGGUGUUGGGAGCAACCAUCUUUAAGAGUCCACGUGAUCUUCAGCUGGACAAGAGUGAGGCGGGUUGCAGAAGGAGCGUUAAUUUGCUUCCGUGAUAGUUUAGGAAGGUAUUGUAGUUUGUGGUUCUUGAUCUUUGUGUGUUAACUCUCAGUGUGUAGAGUACAUAUCACCAGAGGUGCUCCCAUGCGAUAGUCAAGCAUUUUAAUGAUAUAAAGGAGUUCAUAUUUAAGAAUCUAAUCUAAAGCCUAUUAUUUCAAGGUACUUGAUGGCACUGUUCAUGCUAAUAAUACCUUUUGAUCUAA
Lotus japonicus is the source of this 1811-nucleotide RNA transcript. It is a transcript of the gene named replication protein A 70 kDa DNA-binding subunit C-like, with no coding region annotated. The transcript is spliced from 8 exons. Lineage: Eukaryota; Viridiplantae; Streptophyta; Magnoliopsida; Fabales; Fabaceae. The record is from RefSeq and is a predicted model, not a curated record.